RNAcentral lists this ribosomal RNA (458 nucleotides) under uncultured organism. Its description in RNAcentral is "partial 16S ribosomal RNA". It matches the Rfam family "Bacterial small subunit ribosomal RNA", at positions 330 to 797 of the family's 1533-position model. The record is from RNAcentral.
CGUACACUCCUGCGGGAGGCAGCAGUGGGGAAUAUUGCACAAUGGGCGCAAGCCUGAUGCAGCGACGCCGCGUGGGGGAUGAAGGCCUUCGGGUUGUAAACUCCUUUCGCUAGGGACGAAGCUUUUUUGUGACGGUACCUAGAUAAGAAGCACCGGCUAACUACGUGCCAGCAGCCGCGGUAAUACGUAGGGUGCGAGCGUUGUCCGGAAUUACUGGGCGUAAAGGGCUCGUAGGUGGUUUGUCGCGUCGUCUGUGAAAUUCUGGGGCUUAACUCCGGGCGUGCAGGCGAUACGGGCAUAACUUGAGUGCUGUAGGGGUAACUGGAAUUCCUGGUGUAGCGGUGAAAUGCGCAGAUAUCAGGAGGAACACCGAUGGCGAAGGCAGGUUACUGGGCAGUUACUGACGCUGAGGAGCGAAAGCAUGGGUAGCGAACAGGAUUAGAUACCCUGGUAGUCCC